RNAcentral lists this ribosomal RNA (253 nucleotides) under uncultured bacterium. RNAcentral's name for it is "partial 16S ribosomal RNA". It matches the Rfam family "Bacterial small subunit ribosomal RNA", at positions 524 to 776 of the family's 1533-position model. The record is from RNAcentral.
UACGUAGGGGGCAACCGUUGUCCGGAUUUAUUGGGCGUAAAGCGCGUGUAGGCGGCCAUACAGGUCCGUUGUGAAAACUCGAGGCUUAACCUCGAGACGUCGAUGGAAACCGUAUGGCUAGAGUCCGGAAGAGGAGAGUGGAAUUCCUGGUGUAGCGGUGAAAUGCGCAGAUAUCAGGAAGAACACCAGUGGCGAAGGCGGCUCACUGGCCCGUAACUGACGCUGAGGCACGAAAGCGUGGGGAGCAAACAGG